RNAcentral lists this ribosomal RNA (253 nucleotides) under uncultured bacterium. RNAcentral describes it as "partial 16S ribosomal RNA". It matches the Rfam family "Bacterial small subunit ribosomal RNA", at positions 524 to 776 of the family's 1533-position model. The record is from RNAcentral.
UACAGAGGGUGCAAGCGUUAAUCGGAAUUACUGGGCGUAAAGCGCGUGUAGGCGGGUCUUUAAGUCAGGGGGGAAAUGCCAAGGCUCAACCUUGGAACUGCCUUUGAUACUGGAGACCUUGAGUCCGGGAGAGGUGAGUGGAAUUGCGAGUGUAGAGGUGAAAUUCGUAGAUAUUCGCAAGAACACCAGUGGCGAAGGCGGCUCACUGGCCCGGAACUGACGCUGAGACGCGAAAGCGUGGGGAGCAAACAGG